This 313-nucleotide unclassified non-coding RNA is filed under the name plant metagenome. RNAcentral's name for it is "partial contains 5.8S ribosomal RNA, internal transcribed spacer 2, and large subunit ribosomal RNA". The stretch from base 1 to 105 matches the Rfam family "5.8S ribosomal RNA", at positions 50 to 154 of the family's 154-position model. The record is from RNAcentral.
GAAAUGCGAUACGUAGUGUGAAUUGCAGAAUUCAGUGAAUCAUCGAAUCUUUGAACGCACAUUGCGCCCUUUGGUAUUCCAAAGGGCAUGCCUGUUCGAGCGUCAUUUGUACCCUCAAGCUUUGCUUGGUGUUGGGCGUCUUUUGUCUUUGGCCUCGCCCAAAGACUCGCCUUAAAACGAUUGGCAGCCGGCCUACUGGUUUCGCAGCGCAGCACAUUUUUGCGCUUGCAAUCAGCACAAGGACGGCAAUCCAUCAAGACUUCAUUUUUACGUUUGACUUCGGAUCAGGUAGGGAUACCCGCUGAACUUAAGC